UACGGAGGGUGCAAGCGUUAUCCGGAUUCACUGGGUUUAAAGGGUGCGUAGGUGGGCUGGUAAGUCAGUGGUGAAAUCUCCAGGCUUAACUUGGAAACUGCCAUUGAUACUAUCAGUCUUGAAUACCGUGGAGGUCAGCGGAAUAUGUCAUGUAGCGGUGAAACGCUUAGAUAUGACAUAGAACACCAAUUGCGAAGGCAGCUGGCUACACGAAUAUUGACACUGAUGCACGAAAGCGUGGGGAGCAAACAGG
Molecule: ribosomal RNA, 253 nt
Filed under: uncultured bacterium
Lineage: Bacteria
Description: partial 16S ribosomal RNA
Rfam family: Bacterial small subunit ribosomal RNA
Source: RNAcentral